GAUGAACGCUGGCGGCGUGCCUAAUACAUGCAAGUCGAACGAACAGACGAUGAGCUUGCUCCUCUGACGUUAGCGGCGGACGGGUGAGUAACGCGUGGAUAACCUACCUAUAUGUCGGGGAUAACUACGGGAAACCGGAUCUAAUACCGCAUAAUAUAUUGUACCGCAUGGUGCAAUAGUUAAAUACGGCUUUGCUGUAUCAAAUAGAGGAUUCUGCGCUGGAUAGUCUAGUUGUUAAGGUAACGGCCUUCCAAGGGGACGAUGCGUAGCCGACCUGAUGGGGUGAUCGGCCACACUGGAACUGAGACGCGGUCCAGACUCCUACGGGAGGCAGCAGUGGGGAAUCUUGGGCAAUGGGCGAAAGCCUGACCGAGCAAGGCCGCGUGAGUGAGGAAGGUCUUCGGGUCGUAAAGCCCUGUUAUUAGGGAAGAACAGAUGUGUAAUUAAACAUGGACGUUUUGACGGUACCUAAUCAGAAAGCACCGGCUAACUACGUG
This 497-nucleotide ribosomal RNA is filed under the name uncultured bacterium. RNAcentral describes it as "partial 16S ribosomal RNA". It matches the Rfam family "Bacterial small subunit ribosomal RNA", at positions 28 to 507 of the family's 1533-position model. The record is from RNAcentral.